CGAUAUGGAAAUGGCGGGGCGACGGGAUUCACGGCGCGAGGCAGCGGCGGUUCACGAGGAUGGCGCGAGCUCCUCCCUCUACCGGCGCGCUCCUUCUCUCUCGGAUUCCCUCAGUGU
This is a non-coding RNA of Arachis ipaensis, 117 nucleotides long. Lineage: Eukaryota; Viridiplantae; Streptophyta; Magnoliopsida; Fabales; Fabaceae. The record is from RefSeq and is a predicted model, not a curated record.